Pelobates cultripes (western spadefoot toad) is the source of this 400-nucleotide non-coding RNA. NCBI's taxonomy places the organism in Eukaryota, Metazoa, Chordata, Amphibia, Anura, Pelobatidae. The record is from the annotation of a GenBank genome assembly.
UAUACAUAUUUUUAACCCCUUACGGACCAAACUUCUGGAAUAAAAGGGAAUCAUGACAUGUCACACAUGUCAUGUGUCCUUAAGGGGUUAAAGGACAAAUAAAAAAUUAAAGGCUCACUUUAGGUACACUAUAUAAACAACUUUAGUAUAAUGAGGCGGUUUUGGUGUAUAGAUCAUGUCCCCGCACUCUCACAGCCCAAUUCUCUGCCAUUUUGGAGUGAAAUCACUUUUGUUUCGGUUUAUGCAGCCCUCGCUACACCUUUUCUGGCUGUGGCUAACACAUCCAACAUGGAAAGGAAAAUUUUCACUUUAAAUUGUAUAUUAACUUGAUAUAGCAGAUCGUUACCGAUAUACACUACUGGCAGAGGUGAAACCAUCUUACAAAUGUGCUUUAUUCUAG